CGUUUGAUGAAUUCAUAGUCAAACGAGGCGAACCGGGGAAACUGAAACAUCUCAGUACCCCGAGAAAAAGAAAUCAACCGAGAUUCCCCCAGUAGCGGCGAGCGAACGGGGAGCAGCCCAGAGUCAACAUCAAUAUUUACCACAGGAGAAGGGUCUGGAAAAGCCGGCAAUAAAGGGUGAUAGCCCCGUAUCUAAAGCGGUAAGUGUUGUGAACUCGAAGAGUAGGGCGGGACACGUGUUAUCCUGUCUGAAUAUGGGGGGACCAUCCUCCAAGGCUAAAUACUCCUGACUGACCGAUAGUGAACCAGUACCGUGAGGGAAAGGCGAAAAGAACCCCGGCGAGGGGAGUGAAAUAGAACCUAAAACCGUGUACGUACAAGCAGUAGGAGCACCCGAAAGGGUGUGACUGCGUACCUUUUGUAUAAUGAGUCAGCGACUUAUAUUCUGUAGCAAGGUUAACCGCAUAGGGGAGCCGUAGGGAAACCGAGUCUUAACUGGGCGUUAAGUUGCAGGGUAUAGACCCGAAACCCGGUGAUCUAGCCAUAGCUAGGUUGAAGGUUGGGUAACACUAACUGGAGGACC
RNAcentral lists this ribosomal RNA (582 nucleotides) under Arsenophonus endosymbiont of Bemisia tabaci. Its description in RNAcentral is "partial 23S ribosomal RNA". It matches the Rfam family "Bacterial large subunit ribosomal RNA", at positions 152 to 775 of the family's 2925-position model. Lineage: Bacteria; Pseudomonadati; Pseudomonadota; Gammaproteobacteria; Enterobacterales; Morganellaceae. The record is from RNAcentral.